Sphaerodactylus townsendi is the source of this 152-nucleotide long non-coding RNA. RefSeq lists it as uncharacterized. The transcript is spliced from 3 exons. The record is from RefSeq and is a predicted model, not a curated record. NCBI's taxonomy places the organism in Eukaryota, Metazoa, Chordata, Lepidosauria, Squamata, Sphaerodactylidae.
UGUAUUAUUAUUUAAGAGCGGCAAAGUCAACCUCUACACGGCCUUUAUCGAUCUUAAAGGGGCCUUUGACUCAGUUUCAAGAGAGCUCCUUUGGCAGAAACUUGAGACCCUGGAAAUUGAUCCCAGACUCUUUGUGCUUAUAAAAGCUUUGC